AACGUAGGACGCAAGCGUUAUCCGGAGUUACUGGGCGUAAAGGGCGUGUAGGCGGCUUUUCAAGUUCGUCGUGAAAGACCCCGGCUAAACCGGGGGAGGUCGAGGGAGACUGAGAAGCUAGAGGGCGGUAGAGGGACAGGGAAUUCCGGGUGUAGUGGUGAAAUGCGUAGAGAUCCGGAGGAACACCAGUGGCGAAGGCGCUGUCCUGGGCCGCAACUGACGCUGAAACGCGAAAGCAUGGGGAGCGAACGGG
Molecule: ribosomal RNA, 253 nt
Filed under: uncultured bacterium
Lineage: Bacteria
Description: partial 16S ribosomal RNA
Rfam family: Bacterial small subunit ribosomal RNA
Source: RNAcentral